Molecule: long non-coding RNA, 878 nt
Filed under: Equus asinus (donkey)
Lineage: Eukaryota; Metazoa; Chordata; Mammalia; Perissodactyla; Equidae
Description: lncRNA (ENSEASG00005025156.1)
Source: RNAcentral
GGGAGCUGGUCCCAGCCGGGUUUUCUCACCUUUGGGUUCCUGGGUGUGUGUGCGCUUCAGGGAGCUCUGGGCAGACUUGAGGUGGAACAGCGACCCAGGCCACGACCCCGAGAGUCCCUUCACACGGCAGUUCGUCCUGGUCCUGCCCUCCCGGGUUGGAGGAGUCGGUCAGGACCGAUCUGUUCACUCCAUCCGCUUGCUCCCGCACCCCCAUCCCUAAUCGUCUCCCUGAUACCUUUUCCAAGGACCCUUUGCUCCCUGGAGAAGCACCUCUGAAUGUCUGGGGCUCCCUUCUCCGAUGGAAGUAUCGUGUCGUUCAAAUCCGAACGCUGCCAUUUACUGGCCGUGUAACCUUGGGCGCCUCUCGUCUCAAUUUCCUGCUUUUCAAAUAGAGACCAUAACGAUCAUCAAUGAAACCCUUUGGUGAAAGGGGUACAAGGAACAGGAUGUUCACGUUUGGCCAAAUUAUCCCCCAGGGAGUGCUUGCAGGAAUCAGGGGAAAAACAUAAUGACAGUGGAGAAAUCUCGCCUCUCUCACCUCAACCAGAUCAAUCUUAUCAUCACCAAAAGUGGACCAGCGUGACGUCGUGUCUCCCGAUGUGACACAAUAUGAAGCACCAGCGUUAUCGAUGGAAUGAGGAGAGGAGGAAGAUGAUCUGAGUCACAAAGAAGAAAGCCAACCACAGCCUGAGAGGAGAAUGAGACAGAGAAAUCAGCUCAUAAAAGUGCCUGGCUCCAGCUGUUACCAAGAUCCAGCUGAAUUUCUCACUUUAGAUUUCAUAAGACAGCUUCAUAAUCCUUACCCUCAAAACCACACUAGUAAUGAUGUAAAAGACUCUUAUUAAAUGCUUUUUGUCUAUGUGGAAAGCAGUGCAUUU